Molecule: ribosomal RNA, 95 nt
Filed under: Bacillus altitudinis
Lineage: Bacteria; Bacillati; Bacillota; Bacilli; Caryophanales; Bacillaceae
Also listed under: 1 other name
Source: RNAcentral
GUCACACCCGUUCCCAUACCGAACACGGAAGUUAAGCUCUUCAGCGCCGAUGGUAGUUGGGGGUUUCCCCCUGUGAGAGUAGGACGCCGCCAAGC